RNAcentral lists this non-coding RNA (29 nucleotides) under Homo sapiens (human). The record is from RNAcentral. Lineage: Eukaryota; Metazoa; Chordata; Mammalia; Primates; Hominidae.
UAGAGCAGCUGAAGGCUCUUUUUGUGUGU